RNAcentral lists this ribosomal RNA (253 nucleotides) under uncultured bacterium. RNAcentral's name for it is "partial 16S ribosomal RNA". It matches the Rfam family "Bacterial small subunit ribosomal RNA", at positions 524 to 776 of the family's 1533-position model. The record is from RNAcentral.
UACGGGGGGGGCAAGCGUUGUUCGGAAUUACUGGGCGUAAAGGGUUUGUAGGUGGCUUGUUAAGUCAGACGUGAAAUCCCUCAGCUUAACUGGGGAACUGCGUCUGAGACUGGUGAGCUUGAGUGCAGGAGAGGAACGCGGAAUUCCAGGUGUAGCGGUGAAAUGCGUAGAUAUCUGGAGGAACACCUGUGGCGAAAGCGGCGCACUGGACCAUAACUGACGCUGAGGCGCGAAAGCUAGGGGAGCAAACGGG